CCCAGCAGAGUGAUGGCUAGGAAAGUACCCUAUAGCUACUUCGAAGUGCACCCCUCCCCCAGUCUUGUCCCCAGCGUCUCAGAACUAGAGAAGCAUGGCCCCUCCUUGCCACGUUGCCCACCAGGUCUGCCCAGCACAGCAGUGGGCUCAGACGGGAGGACCAGCUGUGGAAGGACCCCAGAGCUAGGGCCCUGUGUAAGAGGGAGCAGAUUUUCAAGGCCCAUUCACUGCGCUUCUCUGUCACCACAUUCUGUUCCUAUGCACCUCCCCCAAGCUAGACCACACCCAUUUGGGACAAGCCAGAUUACCACGGAGCCCCAUCCUCCCCCUACAUGCAACCACACUUUGGCUUUUGUAAAAGAUAUUAGCCAACCAGCUCACCUUCCUGGAUCCCACUUAAUGCCUAGGGGGGCAGACACAGUGGCUACUGUUUCUCAGAAUGGCAUUAUGGGGUCAUCCCAGCCUCAGGGGAAGGAACUCUGAACUCUGAACUGGGUAUCUGGAGGCCUGAGUUCUCAACAUGUGCUCUUCCCAAGUGCUUGCCCUCUCUGGGUCUCAGUGCCCUACUCUUCAGCAAGCAAUUAGACUAGACCUGGGCAGGGUGUGCUCACUCAGUGGUGCACGUGCCUAGCAUGCACAAAGCCCUGGGUUCAACCCCCAGCACACCUGGAACCCCGGCAUAUUGGAGGUGUAAGCAGUAAAGUCAUCAGGUCAGAGUCAUCUAACUUAA
RNAcentral lists this long non-coding RNA (730 nucleotides) under Rattus norvegicus (Norway rat). RNAcentral's name for it is "long non-coding RNA NONRATT028162". Lineage: Eukaryota; Metazoa; Chordata; Mammalia; Rodentia; Muridae. The record is from RNAcentral.